GAGACUGACGCUCAGGUGCGAAAGCGUGGGGAGCAAACAGGAUAAGAUACCCUGGUAGUCCACGCCGUAAACGAUGUCGACUUGGAGGUUGUGCCCUUGAGGCGUGGCUUCCGGAGCUAACGCGUUAAGUCGACCGCCUGGGGAGUACGGCCGCAAGGUUAAAACUCAAAUGAAUUGACGGGGGCCCGCACAAGCGGUGGAGCAUGUGGUUUAAUUCGAUGCAACGCGAAGAACCUUACCUGGUCUUGACAUCCACGGAAGUUUUCAGAGAUGAGAAUGUGCCUUCGGGAACCGUGAGACAGGUGCUGCAUGGCUGUCGUCAGCUCGUGUUGUGAAAUGUUGGGUUAAGUCCCGCAACGAGCGCAACCCUUAUCCUUUGUUGCCAGCGGUCCGGCCGGGAACUCAAAGGAGACUGCCAGUGAUAAACUGGAGGAAGGUGGGGAUGACGUCAAGUCAUCAUGGCCCUUACGACCAGGGCUACACACGUGCUACAAUGGCGCAUACAAAGAGAAGCGACCUCGCGAGAGCAAGCGGACCUCAUAAAGUGCGUCGUAGUCCGGAUUGGAGUCUGCAACUCGACUCCAUGAAGUCGGAAUCGCUAGUAAUCGUGGAUCAGAAUGCCACGGUGAAUACGUUCCCGGGCCUUGUACACACCGCCCGUCACACCAUGGGAGUGGGUUGCAAAAGAAGUAGGUAGCUUAACCUUCGGGAGGGCGCUUACCACUUUGUGAUUCAUGACUGGGGUGAAGUCGUAACAAGGUAACCAAUCACUAGU
RNAcentral lists this ribosomal RNA (775 nucleotides) under uncultured Alcanivorax sp. RNAcentral's name for it is "bacterial SSU rRNA". It matches the Rfam family "Bacterial small subunit ribosomal RNA", at positions 736 to 1511 of the family's 1533-position model. RNAcentral also lists the same sequence under 1 other name. Lineage: Bacteria; Pseudomonadati; Pseudomonadota; Gammaproteobacteria; Oceanospirillales; Alcanivoracaceae. The record is from RNAcentral.